UACGGGGGGAGCAAGCGUUGUUCGGAUUUACUGGGCGUAAAGCGUGCGCAGGCGGUUGGCAAAGUCAGCUGUGAAAGCCCCGGGCUUAACCUGGGAAUGGCGGUUGAAACUAGUCGACUCGAAUCUGGCAGAGGGGGGUGGAAUUCCACGUGUAGCAGUGAAAUGCGUAGAGAUGUGGAGGAACACCGAUGGCGAAGGCAGCCCCCUGGGCUGAGAUUGACGCUCAGGCACGAAAGCGUGGGGAGCAAACAGG
RNAcentral lists this ribosomal RNA (253 nucleotides) under uncultured bacterium. Its description in RNAcentral is "partial 16S ribosomal RNA". It matches the Rfam family "Bacterial small subunit ribosomal RNA", at positions 524 to 776 of the family's 1533-position model. The record is from RNAcentral.